AUAGGAAAACGGUGGAGGCCGUGCUGGCUGCGGCCCGGGGAAGAAGGCUGCGUGAGACCAGCAGCGCAGGACCCUGACAGUCCUGACCUCAGUGCCUCCUUCAGCCCACUUCGUGUACGGGUCUGGGUGGAGGAGGAGGCGCUUCAGACCUUGAGGUGGGCACUCGGGACUGCUCUCUGAUUUGAUUCUAGAUUGGAGGGUGUGGGCAGGAAUCAGGUCCCAUGGGGCUGGGGAUCCAAUCUGGUGAGGAGUUGAGGGGUCGCUGGGGUAGGAAAACAUACCUGAGACCCCAGUGGAGGGUGUGAGCAGGACAUUCCCUCGCCCCAUGAGCUGACUGGCCCCCUUUCGACCUGGGCCUCCCAGGGCCCUGUCCUGGUCUCCAAGACCAGGGCCUUCGGCUUCUCAGCAUUGCUGUCCAGAAAAGGCGGGAACAAGGACAAAGUCAAGCCCGAUGUGAAGCAGAGGUGGCAACACCUAAAACUGGCAUCCCAUGGGGGCAGAAAAUGUGGAGAGAGUGUCUCAGAGGCCUUCUGGGGUGAAUCCAAGCCCAAAAGGGAUAUCCAGGCAUGCUGGCGAGGGCCACUGAGGAUACCCCCAAGAAAGCGAAGCACAAGCAAAGCACACCUGAAACCAUAGGAGGGCCUGUGCCGGAGUCCAAGCCUCCUCCAGGGAUUCCUGCCAGAGGAGCCAAGAGGAUCCUGCAAAGUGAUCCAGCACCCACACCGGGAUCACAACCCACCACCGGGUCUACACCCAGCUAACCCCCAGUCCCUUUUGCUCCGUGAAAUCCCUGGCAACGAAAAGGUGCAGUGCUGAGAGGCAGUCCCAGCCAGGAACAGAGCAAUGGGAGACCCCUCAACAAUGAGAAAACACCAGCAGAUGAGAUGAAACAUAGCCUUCAUUAGAAGGCAAAGGCCAGCUACGGCUGGCUACCUCUCAUUCUAUGUGAAUCAUGCAGCCAUCUGAUGCAAUGGGGAGACCAAGAGUUUCCUUAUUGGGGAAAGCUACGGGCACCCACGGUUCCAAGAGCAUCACAGCUACCCAGUCAUUAAGAAAUGUGAGUGUUGAGAAGGAAACACUCAUCACCUACGUCCCCGCCAAGGUGGUCCUGGACGAACUGGGAAACAUUUGCUGUGAAGGACGUUCUGGAGGACUGUGAGCCAGACCAAGGAAAACCUGGGCCGACGAGAAUCAGGGAAGGCAAGAAAAGAGGGAGAACAGAGUAGAGGCCGCAGCCCAGGCAGGAUCAAUCCAUCCCACUCCCAUGUGCCUCGGGGAACCAGGGUCCAACAGGGGACCUGGCCAGAAAGGCGACAGUCUUCGGUCCAAAGGUUCUCCGAACACUCGUGUCUUCUAUCGCCAGCACAGCGCCAUGGUGUGGACAGGUUGUACAGUGAAGAGGAAAAGGGGAUGGCGUUGGAAACAGUUUCUUUGACAUCUGUCUGCACCUGUUCUGCAGGUGAAGGUGCGAGACCUCCUCCACACCUCAGCGGAUUGUAUCUUCACCCCCAUCUGACCUUUUUUCUGCACACAUCCUUUAAUCCAGAAUGAAAUCUGAAGAGGAUGAAGGAGUGCCCGCCUCAGGUCCUGAAGCUGCGACUCCGCCAGCCACCGAAUUAGAAGUGGGCUCAAGGGGGUACUGAGGACAGGACAGCUAGGGUCCGUCCAGCCUUGGGUGUGCCGCAGGACCAUGGGCCCCUGGAGGAAUUUGUUCUUGGUUGUCGUGUGCUGGUCUUCUUUCUGGAAGAGUGGGCGGCUUGGGAGGGGAGGUGAUUUGGACGUUUGCGGGUCGCAGCCAGCCCCCCACUUCACCGAGGCUUUAGGAACCAAGAGCGAAACAAAGAACGCUUGCCCCGCAACCCAAGCCCGGCCAAAGAGACGGGCGCAUCAGAGCGUAGGCGAACUACAGAGAAACCGCGCUUCACUGCACGAGCCACAUUUCUUUCACCGCACACCACACACACACUCACACGCACACACAGAAAGACACACGGAAACAUCCAACAGUCGCACAGAAACACACACAGCCAGGCAGCUCCUGAGGCUGCGCGGUUCUGCUCUCUGCCAGGAAACCCCUCCGGAAAGAGAGCGCCCCGGGGAACACAGGCAGGCCGUACCUCGAAAUCCCAGCGGGGACACCUGUCAGGGAGACGCACCCUCACACCGCCCAUGCAUGCCCGACGCAUCUUUGGGAUCCUUAGGGAUCACGUGGUGCUUCCUUGAAUCUCCGCUUGAGGUUUCUUCAGGCAGGUUCGGCCUUGCCCGACUCCUAGGAUCGCAGGACCAUGGCGACGAUCCCGCGGAGAGGGGACGCACUGCCACAGACGCCUGGGGGCCAAGCCGCUGGGGCCAGUCCCCCGGCAACGGUGGCGGUUACUGUGACGCGAGUCCCCCCUCAGCGCUAGCGCCUGGUGAUCGCGCCUGGGGCACUCGGGAUUGCUCUUCUGAUUUGAUUCUGGACUGGAAUCAAAUUGGAAUUGACCCGGAAUUGGGUCCCACGGGGCUGGGGAACCAAUCUGGUGAGGUGUGGAGGGGUCGCUGGUGCACAGAAACAUACCGGAUACCCUCGGGGUGGGUGUCAGCAGAACAUUCCUCGGCUCCAUGAGCUGACUGCCUCCCUUUGAUCUGGGCCUCCCAGGGCUCUUCCUGCGUCUCCAAGCUCAGGGGCUCCUGCUUCUCAGCACUGCUGUCUGGAAAAGGCGGGAACGAGGACUAAGGCAAGCCCAGUGUGGGGCAGAGAUGGCAACACCUGGAACUAGCUUUUCAUGGGGGCAGAUAAUGUGGAGAGUGUCCCAAUUACAUCUCCCUUUAUUCUAUCCCAUACUACUAAACCCCACCAGCUAUUUGCCUACAAACUGUGUAUCAGUCAGGACAUCAGGACACCAAGAUAAAGGACUAGAGUUUGGUAAUCAACUACUGGCUCCUCCAGCAGCUCAGAAUGUGGCCUGUAUGCAUCACUUCACUUAAUUCAUUCAAGAAAUGCUGACUGAGUUCCUGCUGUGUGUUGGACACUUUCUUAGAAGUGGGACACACUGCAGUGUGUGGGACAAAGGCUGGGCCGCUCAUUGCUUAUGUUCUAGUUGAAGAGAGAGUCAAUCAACAACAUUCUACUUUCAGACAUUGAUAAAUGCUGUCAUGAAAAGACAAGGAACAUGAAAAGGUAAGAAAAGGGAUGGAGAGAGAUGGGAUGAGGGGUGCCUGGGCAGACAAUGCAAUGAUCUGGCAAAAGAGUAGGACAAUCAUGAGACUGCAUGUGUUCCAGUUUCUGCUGCUGUAAAACAGCAUCCACAGGUUACAUCUUUACUAUUCUGUUACAUACAUACUAUUAUUUAAAUAAAAAAUAGUACUAGUUAACUGUGAAAAUUGCAAUUAAUAGGGCAGAUUAAACAAAUCCUUUAAAUUUAAACAAAUGUUUUAUGGUUUUUUAUCCUCUGAUACAUUGUUUCAACUUUAAAAAACCCUCUUUAUUUGAUAUUUAAACUCUAUAUUAAUGUAUAUUCUUAAGAUACAUAAAUUUAAGAUUUUUUUCGAGACAGGGUCUCAUUCUGUCACACAGUCUGGAGUGCUGUGGUGCAAUUAUGGUUCACUGCAGACUCCACCUCUCCAGGCUCAGAUAAUCCUCCUGCCUCAGACUCCUGAGUAUCUGGGACCACAGGUGUGCAUCACCACACCCAGCUAAUUUCUUGUAUUUUUUUGUUGGGAUGGGGUUUUGCGAUGUUGCCCAGGCUGGUCUCAAACUCCUGGGCUCAAGUGAUCUGCCUGCCUUGGUGUCUCAAAGUGUUGGGAUCACAGGCGUGAGCCACCACAUCCAGCCUAAUUUAAGAUUUUUAAAAAGCAGAAUGUAAAUAUGGUCAUGCAUUGUGUAAUUCUGUGGAUACUUUCUGAGUAAUGCAUGGUUAGGUGACUUCAUCAUUAUGUGAACAUUAUAGAGUGUACAUACACAAACCUAGAUGAUGUAGCCUGAUGGUACAGCCUAUCACUUCGAGGCUACAAAUCCAAAUUGCCUGGAUACUGUAAACAAUUAUACUCAAUGGUAUUUGUGUAUCUAAACAUGUCUAAACAUAGAAAGGGUACAGUAAAAAUAUGGUAUAAAAGAUAAGAAAUCGUAUACCGGUAUACAGCACUUACCGUGGAUGGAGCUUGCAAGACUGGAAGUUACUCCGGGUGAGUCAGUGACUGAGCGGUGAGUGAAUGUGAAGGCUAGGGCAGUACUGUAUACUACUGUAGACUUUAUAUGUACUGUAUGCUUAGGCUACACUAAAUUUAUUUGAAUUUUUUUGUCGGUAAUAAAUUAACCUUAGCUUACUAUAAUUUCUUUAUAAACCUUUUAAUUUUUAAAAAUGUUUUGACUCUCUUGUAAUAAAUUAGCUUCAAACACAUUGUAUAGCUGUACACAAAUAUUUUCUUUAUAUCCUUAUUCUAUAAUCUUCUACUUAAAAAUUUUUUUAAUUUUUUUAUUUUAAUUUAAUUUUAUUUUAUUUUGAGACAGAGUCUCACUCUCUCGCCCAGGCUGGAGUGCAGUGGCGUGAUCUUAACUCACUGCAACCUCCGCUUCCCAGGUAAUAUUAUUUAAAUAAAAAUAGUACUAGUUAACUGUGAAAAUUGCAAUUAAUAGGGCAGAUCAAGCAAUUCUCUUGCCUCAGCCUCCAGACUUUUUUGUUAAAAACUAAGACACAAACACAUUAGCCUAGGUACACACAGUGCCAGGAUCAUCAAAAUGUCAUUAGGCAGUAUAAACUUUUCAGCUCCAUAAAAGUUGGAAAAAAAAUAAUAAUAAUAAAUACAAUUUUAUAAAAAGAAAAUUUUCAGCUCUGCUAUAAUCUUAUGGGACCACUACUGUAUAUGUGGUCCCUCAUUGACCAAAACAUCAUUAUGUGGCACAUGAUUAUAACAAAUGAUGGAUGGCGAGGUUGUGAAGAAACUGGAACCCUUGUGCAUUACUGGUUGUAAUAUAAAAAGGUACAGCCACUGUAAAAAAAAAACACAGUUUGGUUAUUUCUUCAUAAGUUAAUCAUAGAAUUACCAUAUAAUCCAGCAAUUUCACUUCUAGGUAUAUGCCCAAAAUAAUUGAAUAAGGUGUUUAAACAUAAACUUGUACAAGAAUGUUCAUAGCAGUACAUUUCACAAUACUCAGAUAAUCCUCUCAUUGGAAGCAACUCAAAUGUCCACCAACUGAUGGUAUUACCCAUGCAAUGGAAUAUUAUUCAGUCAUAAAAAGGAAUGAAGUACUGAGGCAUGUUACAACAUGAAGGAACUUUGAGGACAGUUUGUUAAUACGCUAUAUACUGUGUAAUUCUAUUUAUAUGAAAUAUCCAGAAUAGGUAAAUCAUUAGAGACUAGAGACAGCAGAUUAGUGGAUGCCAGGAGUUUGGGGAAGGAAGGGGUGGGAAGAAUGGGAAGUGACUGCUUAAUGGAUACAGGGUUUCUUUUUGGGGUGAUGAAAAAUUUCUGGAACUAGAUUGUAGUGAUGGUUGCACAACACCGUAAGUGUAAUAAUGUCACUGAAUUAUACACUUUAAAGUGAUUUAAAUGGUAAAUUGUAUUAUUUAUGUAUUUUACCACAAUAAAGAAGUCACCUAUCACCAACCCUUUAGAUCCCUUAUUGACUCCUUAGACUCCCCACAUCCCAUAUCCCAGAGACUACCACUCUCCCAAAUUCCAAGACCUCGGAUACCUGACCCACUGGGACACCCAUACCAAUUAUAGCCUUCUCUGGACUCCUGAAUCAUUGAAAACCAAGUAUCUGCAUGCAAUCAUUCCUUGGACCUCUUUAUCACUACAUCCCAGAACUGAUUCUCCUCCCCCAAUUCCUAAACCCCAUUCCUGCCACCCACUUCCCAUUUUCAGUCAAUUGCAUCCAAUUCCUAAGCCCCAUCUCUCCGCAAGACCACACAUUGCCAUGGUUUCCUCAAAGGACAUCUCUCCUUCUGUGGCGGCAGGGCCACUGCAACAACCCUCUCCACCUCGCCCCAAGGCUGCCACACACACUCAGGUGUGGCUUUCCGCUGUGUAGCUAAAUGCCCAGGGCGCCCCAUUAUAGUGUGAGAUGCUGAGUAAUUAAUUGCGUCUAUGCGGUGAAACCAGGUAGCUGCACCCAUUUAGCUGUUUCUCCCUGGGGACGACCAUUUUCAAAGAUGUGUCCUACAAUACCCCCAGCCUAUCUUUUUCUGACCCCAAGGUUUUGGUUGUUCUAGGUAGGGAUACACAGUUGACAAUGACCUGCUACCAUCCUUUCUGUUGGAACCCCACUCUGAGGCUGUCACUUCUGCAGGAAACCACUGCCCGCAUCUCCUCUCCAUCAAUAUAGUGCUAGUCAUAAGAAAAACAGUAGGCCGGGCGUGGGGGCUCACGCCUCUAAUUCCAGCACUUUGGGAGGCCGAGGUGGGUGAAUUGCUUGAGGUCAGGAGUUCAAGACCAGCCUGACCAACAUGGUGAAACCCCGUCUCUACUAAAAAUACAAAAAUUAGCCAGGCGUGGUGGCUCACGCCUGUAAUCCCAGCAUGUUGGGAGGCCGAGGCAGGAGAAUC
Molecule: long non-coding RNA, 6527 nt
Filed under: Homo sapiens (human)
Lineage: Eukaryota; Metazoa; Chordata; Mammalia; Primates; Hominidae
Description: non-protein coding lnc-ZNF571-1:3
Source: RNAcentral